AUGCAAGUCGAACGAGAAAGUCCUUCGGGACGAGUACAGUGGCGAACGGGUGAGUAACGCGUAAGAAUCUUCCCUUCAGUGAAGAAUACCGCCGAGAAAUCGGUGUUAAUACUGCAUACGUCCUUGUAAGUUAGUUCUUACAGGGAGAAAGGUGGCCUCUUUGCUACCGCUGAUGGAUGAGCUUGCGUACUAUUAGUUUGUUGGUGAGGUAAUGGCUCACCGAGGCGAUGAUGGUUAGCCGACCUGAGAGGGUGACCGGCCACAUUGGGACUGAGAUACGGCCCAGACUCCUACGGGAGGCAGCAGUGGGGAAUUUUGCACAAUGGGCGCAAGCCUGAUGCAGCGACGCCGCGUGGAGGAUGACGGUUUUCGGAUUGUAAACUCCUGUUAAGUGGGAAUAAAUACCUUUGUUUAAUACGCAAAGGGGAUGAAGGUACCAUUAGAGAAAGCUCCGGCUAACUUCGUGCCAGCAGCCGCGGUAAUACGAAGGGAGCGAGCGUUAUUCGGAAUUACUGGGCGUAAAGGGCGUGUAGGCGGUUCGUUAAGUCAGUUGUUAAAUCCCCCGGCUUACCCGGGGAACAGCAAUUGAUACUGGCAGACUAGAGGACAAGAGAGAGGAGUGGAAUUCUCGGAGUAGCGGUAAAAUGCGCAGAUCUCGAGAGGAACACCGAUGGCGAAGGCAGCUCCUUGGCUUGUAUCUGACGCUGAGACGCGAAAGCGUGGGUAGCAAACAGGAUUAGAUACCCUGGUAGUCCACGCCGUAAACGAUGAUCACUGAAUGUUGGUUUUACUUUUGUGAAAUCAGUGUUGUAGCUAACGCGUUAAGUGAUCCGCCUGGGGAGUACGGUCGCAAGAUUAAAACUCAAAGGAAUUGACGGGGGUCCGCACAAGCGGUGGAACAUGUGGUUUAAUUCGACACUACGCGAGAAACCUUACCUAGGCUUGACAUGUGCGUGACAACUGUAGAAAUACAGCUUUCUUAGUUUACUAAGACAUGUACACAGGUGCUGCAUGGCUGUCGUCAGCUCGUGUCGUGAGAUGUUGGGUUAAGUCCUUUAACGAGCGCAACCCCUGCCGUUAGUUGCUACUGUUUUGCAGAGCACUCUAGCGGGACUGCCUUGGAAACAAGGAGGAAGGUGGGGAUGACGUCAAGUCCUCAUGGCCCUUAUGUCUAGGGCUACACACGUGUUACAAUGGCGAGUACAAUGGGAAGCGAAGCCGCGAGGUGGAGCAAAUCCAAUAAAGCUCGUCUAAGUUCGGAUUGAAGUCUGAAAUUCGACUUCAUGAAGUUGAAAUCGCUAGUAAUCGCGUAUCAGAACGACGCGGUGAAUACGUUCUCGGACCUUGUACACACCGCCCGUCACACACGAAAAUUGUCUGUACCAGAAGUCGUCUUAGCUAACCUUUACGGGAGGCGGGCGCCGAAGGUGUGGAUGGUAAUUGGGGUGAAGUCGAAACAAGGUA
RNAcentral lists this ribosomal RNA (1464 nucleotides) under metagenome. Its description in RNAcentral is "bacterial SSU rRNA". It matches the Rfam family "Bacterial small subunit ribosomal RNA". The record is from RNAcentral.